GAAGGAAGAGAACCACAUCGUUCAGAUUCUCAGAUAUUCAGAAAUGAGGUACAAAAACCUGACUCAGUAUCAAGCUCGAUCUCCAAUUCGGCUCUAUCUAGUGUUGGCUCAUCUGAGGGUGACAAUGAAUACUCAACCACAAACUCUUCUCAGAGACGAAGAACAAACGUUCCUGAAGCUGAAUUGUCAUGAUAAUUUAGUUCAAGGUCGGCAUCGGAAUAUAACGUGCACCUGUUCGAUGCUUUGAGAGAUCAGUUUUGUAUUUUACAGCUUUGUUUUACUUAUCUUAUUACUGUAACGUGUAAAUUAUCUGAUACUAUGAUGAACCCCAAUUUGGGUUCUGUUCUGAUCAUCAUAUCUUCACUGUUAUACAUGAAACUGAAUGAUCGCCUCCCCUGAAUUUAUUUUCAUCAUAGCACGG
RNAcentral lists this long non-coding RNA (421 nucleotides) under Cicer arietinum (chickpea). RNAcentral describes it as "long non-coding RNA (CARI_LNC000046)". Lineage: Eukaryota; Viridiplantae; Streptophyta; Magnoliopsida; Fabales; Fabaceae. The record is from RNAcentral.